RNAcentral lists this long non-coding RNA (470 nucleotides) under Gallus gallus (chicken). RNAcentral's name for it is "lncRNA (ENSGALG00010006725.1)". The record is from RNAcentral. Lineage: Eukaryota; Metazoa; Chordata; Aves; Galliformes; Phasianidae.
UUCUUGCUCACUGGCGGUUAUUUCUGUUUUUUCCAUUAUUUUAAUUAGACUGUAACCUGAUGUACUGGACUGUGUUUCCUGCUCACUGGAAGUUAUUUCCAUUAUUUCUGUUAUUGUUCUUUGUCAUCUGAUGUGCUGGACUGCAUUUCCUGCUCACUGGUGCUUAUUUCCAUUAGUUCCGUUAUUUCUGUUAUUUCUGUUACUGUUCUUCUUCUGUCACCUGAUGUGCUGGACUGUGUCUCUUGCUCACUGGAGUCCAUUUCUCUUAUUUCCAAUAUUUCUUUUUUUCUGUUAUUUCCACUAUUUUUCUUAGCUGGUCAUCUGACGUGCUCGACUGUGUUUCCGGCUCACUGGAGGUUAUUUCCGUUAUAUCCAUUAUUGCAGUUAUUUUCGUUAUUUUUCUUACUCUGUCGUCUGAAGUGCUGGAUUGUGUUUCCUGCUCACUGGAUGUUAUUUCUGUUACUUCUGUU